GGAUUCACUCAAUGGUAGAGCAUCUGUUUUGCAUGCAGAAGACCCAAGGUUCAAUGCCUGGCAUCUUCU
Molecule: non-coding RNA, 69 nt
Organism: Podarcis lilfordi (Lilford's wall lizard)
Lineage: Eukaryota; Metazoa; Chordata; Lepidosauria; Squamata; Lacertidae
Source: the annotation of a GenBank genome assembly